This 369-nucleotide ribosomal RNA is filed under the name Triticum aestivum (bread wheat). RNAcentral's name for it is "partial small subunit ribosomal RNA". The record is from RNAcentral. Lineage: Eukaryota; Viridiplantae; Streptophyta; Magnoliopsida; Poales; Poaceae.
AUGGAUGAGAAAUGGUUCACUCUGACACAGGAGGAGAACGGCUACUUGCUGCUUCGCGAAGAACCUGAUCCCUUACGCACCUUGCAUCAUAAGGAUAGCAUCGCGAAGGUGAUGUUUCUUGCGGCCAUGGCUAAACCAAGAUAUGGCAAUGUUGGUGUCGUCACGUUUGAUGGAAAGAUAGGCAUUUGGGCCUUUGUCAUAGAGUCUCCGGCUCAAAGAAGGAGUGAAAAUAGAGAAAGAGGGACACUUGAACUCAAAUCAUUGAAAGUUACAAGAGAUGUAAUGAGGCUCUAUAUGUGUGAGAAACUGAUCCCAGCUAUCCAUGACCUGUGGCCUGAUGAAGAUGAAGAACGUACCAUCUUUAUCUAG